Molecule: ribosomal RNA, 497 nt
Filed under: uncultured bacterium
Lineage: Bacteria
Description: partial 16S ribosomal RNA
Rfam family: Bacterial small subunit ribosomal RNA
Source: RNAcentral
GAUGAACGCUGGCGGCGUGCCUAAUACAUGCAAGUCGAGCGAACAGACGAGGAGCUUGCUCCUCUGACGUUAGCGGCGGACGGGUGAGUAACACGUGGAUAACCUACCUAUAAGACUGGGAUAACUUCGGGAAACCGGAGCUAAUACCGGAUAAUAUAUUGAACCGCAUGGUUCAAUAGUGAAAGACGGUUUUGCUGUCACUUAUAGAUGGAUCCGCGCCGCAUUAGCUAGUUGGUAAGGUAACGGCUUACCAAGGCAACGAUGCGUAGCCGACCUGAGAGGGUGAUUGGCCACACUGGAACUGAGACACGGUCCAGACUCCUACGGGAGGCAGCAGUAGGGAAUCUUCCGCAAUGGGCGAAAGCUUGUCGGAGCAACGCCGCGUGAGUGAUGAAGGUCUUCGGAUCGUAAAACUCUGUUAUUAGGGAAGAACAAAUGUGUAAGUAACUAUGCACGUCUUGACGGUACCUAAUCAGAAAGCCACGGCUAACUACGUG